RNAcentral lists this long non-coding RNA (2095 nucleotides) under Mus musculus (house mouse). RNAcentral's name for it is "long non-coding RNA chr18:26097253-26099348". Lineage: Eukaryota; Metazoa; Chordata; Mammalia; Rodentia; Muridae. The record is from RNAcentral.
AUACUACUUUAGGAUAUUAUCUUCUCAUUAUUAUUCAUGCUUUACUACUUUUUUCAAACUUGAUUACUACGGCUGACUUAAGAGGCUGACUUAAGAAUGUGCUCAGCUUCUCAGGUGUGUAGUCCUCUGAAAAGCAGACUUUUCCUUAUGUGUCUCUUCAUGUCACCUCAACUCAGUAUUGGCAUUUAGUUUGUAUCCAGUGAUUUAUUUUCUCACAACUGUACAAGAAUUACCAAAUUCAUCACCAUGAGGAUUGAUGCUUUUUGAAAGAAAAAAGAACUUGCGAAAGGAAAGUUGAAAAAUUAAAGGCAGCGGUGAGAAGAUAGAAUUGGCUUGUUUCAGGGCACCCAAGAGUUAGGAGAAUUUACUGUUCAUUAUACAGGAGAUGGGGGAAGAAGCAAUAUUAUGGCUACCCUGGCGGAGGCAGUUUCAACUGUUCUAGGUGUAUUAUACUAAACAUGUUAUUAAAAUGUAUAAUGGGUUCUCUCCAGGUGGAACUGUGUCAGCCAUUCUGCAGCAUCCUCACAAUUAUCCUACUUACUGCUAGCUCAGCUUUGCUUAGUAUUUCCAGGAAAUCACAAAUGAAGGCAAGAACUCUAUCUGCCUCCUUCCUCAGGAAUAUAGAAUUGCCUUCAGUCAACAUACAUCUGGAACCAUGGUCCAAAUGAUCAUAUACUAUACCAGACUGUCUUCAGUUAUCAUCUGUAUUCUGGAUCCUGCACCUAGAGCACAAACUAUUAUUAUUUGGUUAUCAUAUUUCCCAUUCUUCCUCUAAUCUCAGAUCUGAAAUUCAGCGAUGUAAUUCAAGUCCUGAAAUUAAUUUUAAAUAUUAUUAAAAUUCUCCUCUAACAACUGUAGGUCUUGCAGAAUCCUAAAGGGCUAAUCAUGAAUUCUCCUGCCUUCAUUGAUUGUGACCAUAGGAAUAUGGACCGCUGGGGCUCUCUGACUCUGAACCACCAACCAAAGAGCAUACAUGGGCUGGAUCUAGGCCUUCCUCCACAUAUGUAGCAGAUGUGCACCUUGGUCUACAUGUGGAUCCAGGACAACUGGAAUGGGGGCUAUCCCAAAAGCUGUUGCCUGUAUGUGGAAUAUGUUCUAGCUGGGUUUAGUAGGAAUGAUGGUAACAAGCUGGUUCCUUUAUUAGCAAUACUUACUACUCUCUACCUGGUCUUUACCUGAGGGCCAACCCAUGACAUUACUCAAGCCAACCAGUAAUAUAUAUCUGUAGAAACUGCAGAUUAUCACUCCUUAUUUAUGAUGAUAAAAAAAUGUACUUCUUACAGCUCCUUAUUUAGCUUGUUUCUGAAUACAGGUCCUCUGUACCCCUACGUAAGCAGUCUUAUCUUCCUUCUCCAAAACUGUGAGCUUAUUUAUUUAAUAAAUUACUACCAAUAUCAUUUAUCCAGGGUGUAUCAUGCAUGGUUUUUGGCCAUUUAUUACUAGUGGGUCUGAGGGAUCACUCCUUGAUGUGUUGUAUGAAUAAAAAGAAUUCAGAGCCAAAGUCACCCUUUUCUAGUGUUUUGAUUGUGAUGACUUUUAUUAACUUUCUGGCAGAGGAAAGUUGGUAGGAUUUUUCUACUUGUCUUGAUAUCUGUCUUCAGUUAGCAUGGAUCUUGUGUUAAUGAUUACUUUUGAGUGACCCUUGUCUCAACUCCAUGUUACUGGGAUAAAUGUGAUAUCUGUAUGGAAACAGUCUAUCCUAUUCUGUAUACAACUGUCACUCAUUCAACCAUGACUUUUAUCCAGCAGCUAAAAAACCACAAUUUUGAACAUGCAAAGAAGUGUAGAGCAUAUUAGCUUGGUGGUCCCCACAUUCUGGAAGGAAAACAGACAAUAAGAGCAACGAUUUUAAUGUAGAGAUGUUAAGCGCUCUAAACAUGAAAUGGCUGCAAUAUAUGGAAGUUCUCAAGAGAAAUAUUAAAAGAAUCUCAGAAUUCACUCAAGAAUAUAAGAUUCAGUCUUCCAAGUGGAUAUUUUGAAGAUCAGAGUAGAAAAGUACAUAUAUAACUGGGCAGAAUAUUCUAGACCCUUGACAUACCAUGUACUGGUGUUUGGACCCGUCUUACAAACUUUAUUGCUAUAACCCCUUUUCUUU